GUGAUGAGGCCGCUGAGCGUUGAGUCGUGACGCAUUUUUCAGCCGGCUGA
Molecule: small nucleolar RNA, 50 nt
Filed under: Pyrobaculum calidifontis JCM 11548
Lineage: Archaea; Thermoproteati; Thermoproteota; Thermoprotei; Thermoproteales; Thermoproteaceae
Description: PCAsR61
Source: RNAcentral